GGCCUGUUCGCUCAGCUGGUUAGAGCGUGGUGCUAAUAACGCCAAGGUCGUGGGAUCGAUCCCCACAUGGGCCA
This 74-nucleotide transfer RNA is filed under the name Danionella translucida. It matches the Rfam family "tRNA". Rfam says of the family: Transfer RNA (tRNA) molecules are approximately 80 nucleotides in length. Their secondary structure includes four short double-helical elements and three loops (D, anti-codon, and T loops). RNAcentral also lists the same sequence under 1 other name. The record is from Rfam by way of RNAcentral. Lineage: Eukaryota; Metazoa; Chordata; Actinopteri; Cypriniformes; Danionidae.